Molecule: ribosomal RNA, 468 nt
Filed under: uncultured bacterium
Lineage: Bacteria
Description: partial 16S ribosomal RNA
Rfam family: Bacterial small subunit ribosomal RNA
Source: RNAcentral
GACGAACGCUGGCGGCGUGCUUAACACAUGCAAGUCGAACGGAAAGUCCCUGCUUUUGUGGGGUCCUCUAGUUGCGAACGGGUGAGUUACACGUGAGUAACCUACCCUUGACUUUGGUUUAACUUCAUGAAACUUAGUGUAAUCCCGGCUAAGAUCUCCCGCUUCUUGGUGGGUGUUGGUAAGUUUAGGCGGUUGGGGAUGGACUCGCGCCUUAUCACGUUGUUGGUGGGGUAGUGGAUUACCAUGGCUUUGACCGGUAGCAGGCCUGCGAGGGUGAGAGGACAAGUUGGGAUGGAGAUGCGGCACAGACUACUCCGGGAGGCAGCAGUGGGGAAUAGUGCACAAUGGGAGGAAGCCUGAUGCAGCAACGCCGUGUGCGGGAUGACGGCAAUCGGGUUGUAAACCGCUUUCGCCUGUGACGAAGCGUGAGUGACGGUAAUGGGUAAAGAAGCACCGGCUAACUACGUG